Long non-coding RNA from Otolemur garnettii (small-eared galago), 490 nucleotides. RefSeq lists it as uncharacterized. The transcript is spliced from 2 exons. Lineage: Eukaryota; Metazoa; Chordata; Mammalia; Primates; Galagidae. The record is from RefSeq and is a predicted model, not a curated record.
UUAAUUUUUCUAUUCCUUUUUUUAGAAUGGUAGCCGAAGAAGAACACCAGGUGGAGUUUUUCUGAAUCUCCUGAAAAACACUCCUAGUAUCAGUGAGGAGCAAAUUAAGGAUAUUUUCUAUAUUGAAAAUCAAAAGGAAUAUGAAAACAAAAAAGCUGCUAGAAAGAGGAGAACCCAGAUAUUGGGGAAAAAGAUGAAGCAAGCUAUUAAAAGUCUGAAUUUUCAAGAAGACGAUGAUACAUCACGAGAAACUUUUGCCAGUGACACAAAUGAGGCCCUGGCCUCUCUCGACGAGUCACAGGAAGGACACGGAGAGGCCAAGUUGGAUGCAGAGGAAGCCAUUGAAGUUGAUCAUUCUCACGAUUUGGAUAUCUUUUAAGCAUAUUUUGGAUGUUUUGAGGAAUAAGCCUUUGUAAAGUAACAUUGUAAUAAACCAUUUCUACUGAGAUCGCUACAUUUUAGUUUGCACUGAUAAACCUAAGAAUCUGGA